Long non-coding RNA from Misgurnus anguillicaudatus (oriental weatherfish), 389 nucleotides. RefSeq lists it as uncharacterized. The record is from RefSeq and is a predicted model, not a curated record. NCBI's taxonomy places the organism in Eukaryota, Metazoa, Chordata, Actinopteri, Cypriniformes, Cobitidae.
CUGCACGUCUGCUAACAUUUUGCAAAGGCGAAAUUAACGGACACCUAAAGGUCCUACUAGGAUAUAUAGCGCAAGACUGCCGACGGGACAGACCUGUUUGUGUUGGCGGUCGUCUUGGAACAACGUUUAGAUUGCCAAAGAUCCCAUGACGCUUCGCUUCUGCCUUGACUCGAGAGUGAAGAUGUUGGUGAGAUCUGAGCGUGUUCAAUAUUGAGCACGUGCAUCACAAUCUUUGAUCAAUUUACUGAUUACGUUUGUGUUGUUGUUACGUUAAUAGUUUCUUCAAAGAUGUUUUGUAAGUUUGAUAUUUAAAUUCUUUCCGCAUUAUGUAUCUUUUGCAAACGUGUAUAUUCACAUUCCCUUAAUUAAAGUCACUGGAUUUGUCUUGA